AGUGAACGCUGGCGGUAGGCCUAACACAUGCAAGUCGAACGGCAGCACAGGAGAGCUUGCUCUCUGGGUGGCGAGUGGCGGACGGGUGAGGAAUACAUCGGAAUCUACUCUGUCGUGGGGGAUAACGUAGGGAAACUUACGCUAAUACCGCAUACGACCUACGGGUGAAAGCAGGGGACCUUCGGGCCUUGCGCGAUUGAAUGAGCCGAUGUCGGAUUAGCUAGUUGGCGGAGUAAAGGCCCACCAAGGCGACGAUCCGUAGCUGGUCUGAGAGGAUGAUCAGCCACACUGGAACUGAGAAACGGUCCAGACUCCUACGGGAGGCAGCAGUGGGGAAUAUUGGACAAUGGGCGCAAGCCUGAUCCAGCCAUACCGCGUGGGUGAAGAAGGCCUUCGGGUUGUAAAGCCCUUUUGUUGGGAAAGAAAUCCAGCUGGCUAAUACCCGGUUGGGAUGACGGUACCCAAAGAAUAAGCACCGGCUAACUUCGUGCCAGCCGCCGCGGUAA
RNAcentral lists this ribosomal RNA (506 nucleotides) under uncultured bacterium. RNAcentral's name for it is "partial 16S ribosomal RNA". It matches the Rfam family "Bacterial small subunit ribosomal RNA", at positions 29 to 523 of the family's 1533-position model. The record is from RNAcentral.